This 239-nucleotide unclassified non-coding RNA is filed under the name Hevea brasiliensis (rubber tree). Lineage: Eukaryota; Viridiplantae; Streptophyta; Magnoliopsida; Malpighiales; Euphorbiaceae. The record is from RNAcentral.
GUUUUUUUGAUGGAACAAUUUUUUAUGCUAAAUAUAUCUUAUUUGUGUGUUUGAGCAUGAAAUUCCAAAGUUUUAAUUUUUGUGAGUAUUUCGAGUGGUAUGAUAACCUAAUAUUUAAUUAAGCAAGAAAUAUAAUUUUUAAACUUUUGAAUAUAAUUAAUAGAUAUGAGUUAGAGGUUAUAGGAGGGAGACUAAUAUAAAUUUCAUAUGUGACGCUUUAAUUUCUUUAAUUUUUUUUU